AUACGUAGGGGGCGAGCGUUGUCCGGAAUGAUUGGGCGUAAAGGGCGCGUAGGCGGCCCGGUAAGUCUGGAGUGAAAGUCCUGUUUUUAAGAUGGGAAUUGCUUUGGAUACUGUCGGGCUUGAGUGCAGGAGAGGUAAGUGGAAUUCCCAGUGUAGCGGUGAAAUGCGUAGAGAUUGGGAGGAACACCAGUGGCGAAGGCGACUUACUGGACUGUAACUGACGCUGAGGCGCGAAAGUGUGGGGAGCUAACAGGAUUAGAUACCCUGGUAGUCCACACUGUAAACGAUGAAUGCUAGGUGUAGGGGGUAUCGACCCCUUCUGUGCCGCAGUCAACACAAUAAGCAUUCCGCCUGGGGAGUACGGCCGCAAGGUUGAAACUCAAAUGAAUUGACGGGG
RNAcentral lists this ribosomal RNA (397 nucleotides) under uncultured bacterium. RNAcentral's name for it is "partial 16S ribosomal RNA". It matches the Rfam family "Bacterial small subunit ribosomal RNA", at positions 523 to 918 of the family's 1533-position model. The record is from RNAcentral.